RNAcentral lists this ribosomal RNA (372 nucleotides) under uncultured bacterium. RNAcentral's name for it is "bacterial SSU rRNA". It matches the Rfam family "Bacterial small subunit ribosomal RNA", at positions 521 to 895 of the family's 1533-position model. The record is from RNAcentral.
UAAUACGGAGGGUGCAAGCGUUAUCCGGAUUCACUGGGUUUAAAGGGUGCGUAGGUGGGUUAGUAAGUCAGUGGUGAAAUCUCCGGGCUUAACUCGGAAACUGCCAUUGAUACUAUUAGUCUUGAAUACCGUGGAGGUCAGCGGAAUAUGUCAUGUAGCGGUGAAAUGCUUAGAUAUGACAUAGAACACCAAUUGCGAAGGCAGCUGGCUACACGAAUAUUGACACUGAGGCACGAAAGCGUGGGGAUCAAACAGGAUUAGAUACCCUGGUAGUCCACGCCCUAAACGAUGGAUACUCGACAUUUGCGAUAAACUGCAAGUGUCUGAGCGAAAGCAUUAAGUAUCCCACCUGGGAAGUACGAUCGCAAGAUU